AACGAACGCUGGCGGCGCGCCUAAUACAUGCAAGUCGAGCGAGAAGACGUAGCAAUACGUUUGUAAAGCGGCGAACGGGUGAGGAAUACAUGGGUAACCUACCCUCGAGUGGGGAAUAACUAGCCGAAAGGUUAGCUAAUACCGCGUACGCUCCUUGGACUUCGGUUCAGGGAGGAAAGCGAUACCGUGGGUAUCGCGCUCUUGGAUGGGCUCAUGUCCUACCAGCUUGUUGGUGAGGUAACGGCUCACCAAGGCUUCGACGGGUAGCUGGUCUGAGAGGACGAUCAGCCACACUGGCACUGCGACACGGGCCAGACUCCUACGGGAGCAGCAGUAAGGAAUAUUGCGCAAUGGGCGAAAGCCUGACGCAGCGACGCCGCGGUGGGGGAGUGAA
RNAcentral lists this ribosomal RNA (394 nucleotides) under uncultured bacterium. RNAcentral describes it as "bacterial SSU rRNA". It matches the Rfam family "Bacterial small subunit ribosomal RNA", at positions 29 to 412 of the family's 1533-position model. The record is from RNAcentral.